GGAUGGGCCGGGAGAGGCAGGGAGACUCAGCAGGCCCUGUCUCUAAGGAUUCUGGGACUAGUUGAGGGAGGAUGAGUUGGCAAGCACUGAUUCACAGGAGUGCUGGUAGGUGAGGUCUGAGGCGGGUGCUGUCCCUUCCAUCAGGGGACAAGAGAAGGCUUUGGACACUCAGGGACGUUGACAAGAGCCGAGGAAGCAUUGUAUUCACAUCCCCAUGGAAGAGGCCUGGGCAAACUGCUCCCGUCUCAGGAUCCUCAUACACCAUGUUCUUCUGGACCAGACAUUGGCAGACCACCUCCUUUGCAUGCAGUGGACCACCAGCAGAUGAGAGACAUAUAGCAAAGAAGAAGCGUGCUUGACCGAACCUAAACGAGAACCUGUGGACCUUGGGGGAUCUUGAGGUCACAGCUCACUCAGACCAGUGCUGAUGCCUUGACCUCCUCUGCCCUAUCCUUCACCCGAAGAGUCCCUGGGGCGAACAGCAAAGCCUCAAUCAGAAGCCGUAGACCCGGCCUGUGAAUCGAGAAGAUUCUGCCCAUGCCACUCUCCCUUAUGUCUCUUCUCUCUAGGCCAGACUGCCUCAGACUGAUGUGCUUGCCAAGUUAGUGUUUCACCAGUGGGGAUAAAGUGCAUGGCUUUGGAACACA
This is a long non-coding RNA of Peromyscus californicus insignis, 647 nucleotides long. RefSeq lists it as uncharacterized. NCBI's taxonomy places the organism in Eukaryota, Metazoa, Chordata, Mammalia, Rodentia, Cricetidae. The record is from RefSeq and is a predicted model, not a curated record. The transcript has 2 exons.